This 335-nucleotide ribosomal RNA is filed under the name uncultured Streptococcus sp. Its description in RNAcentral is "bacterial SSU rRNA". It matches the Rfam family "Bacterial small subunit ribosomal RNA", at positions 1044 to 1382 of the family's 1533-position model. Lineage: Bacteria; Bacillati; Bacillota; Bacilli; Lactobacillales; Streptococcaceae. The record is from RNAcentral.
CAUGGUUGUCGUCAGCUCGUGUCGUGAGAUGUGGUUAAGUCCCGCAACGAGCGCAACCCUCGACCUUAGUUGCCAGCAUUCAGUUGGGCACUCUAAGGUGACUGCCGGCUAAAAGUCGGAGGAAGGUGGGGAUGACGUCAAAUCAUCAUGCCCCUUAUGACCUGGGCUACACACGUGCUACAAUGGUUGGUACAACGAGUUGCGAGUCGGUGACGGCGAGCUAAUCUCUUAAAGCCAAUCUCAGUUCGGAUUGUAGGCUGCAACUCGCCUACAUGAAGUCGGAAUCGCUAGUAAUCGCGGAUCAGCACGCCGCGGUCGAAUACGUUCCGGGCCUU